GUGAGGAAUUUUCCGCAAUGGGCGAAAGCCUGACGGAGCAAUGCCGCGUGAAGGAUGAAGGCCUAUGGGUUGUAAACUUCUUUUCUCAGAAAAGAAUUAUGACGGUAUCUGAGGAAAAGCAUCGGCUAACUCUGUGCCAGCAGCCGCGGUAAGACAGAGGAUGCAAGCGUUAUCCGGAAUGAUUGGGCGUAAAGCGUCUGUAGGUUGUUUAAAAAGUAUUCUGUCAAAGAUUAGGGCUUAACCCUAGAUAGGCAGAAUAAACUUUUAAGCUAGAGUUUGGUAGAGGCAGAGGGAAUUCCCGGUGGAGCGGUGAAAUGCGUAGAUAUCGGGAGGAACACCAAAGGCGAAGGCACUCUGCUGGGCCAAUACUAACACUGAGAGACGAAAGCGAGGGGAGCAAAUGGGAUUAGAUACCCCUGUAGUCC
This 425-nucleotide ribosomal RNA is filed under the name uncultured bacterium. RNAcentral describes it as "partial 16S ribosomal RNA". It matches the Rfam family "Bacterial small subunit ribosomal RNA", at positions 354 to 796 of the family's 1533-position model. The record is from RNAcentral.